This 216-nucleotide ribosomal RNA is filed under the name Glomeromycotina sp. RNAcentral's name for it is "partial small subunit ribosomal RNA". The stretch from base 40 to 216 matches the Rfam family "Eukaryotic small subunit ribosomal RNA", at positions 686 to 864 of the family's 1831-position model. Lineage: Eukaryota; Fungi; Glomeromycota. The record is from RNAcentral.
GGGUCAGUAGGUUGGUCGUGCCACCGGUACGUACUGGUCUCACUGAUUCCUUCUUCCUGAAGAACCGUAAUACCAUUAAUUUGGUGUUGCGGGGAAACAGGACUGUUACUUUGAAAAAAUUAGAGUGUUUAAAGCAAGCUAACGCUUGAAUACAUUAGCAUGGAAUAAUGAAAUAGGACGAUCGAUCCUAUUUUGUUGGUUUCUAGGAUUGACGUA